UUCAACCCUAGACCCGCCGCCUUGAACCCUUCACCAUCUCCGGCCGGCAGCGGGGCUCAAACCACCACCAAAAUCCGACCAUGCAACCAUCACCCCUCCUUGAACCCCAAUCCACCACCAUUUCUUCCCAAAUACUCACAAAAUUGGGUCAAUUUCAAAUCUGAAAAAGAAGAAAAGAAAAUCUUGCAAGCUUUCGAGUUUUCUAUGAUCGAUGCGGCUUGAAACUAGUAUUGUUCAUUUGUUCUCAAAGAAAACAUGCGGGUAAUACCAGUUUCGGGUCAAAUCAAAGUCGCCUAAGGUUGUCAAGUUUUGCCCGUGUGGCCAUCAAGGUAUUCUCGUUAUUUUCUCCUUCGUUUCCAUCUUCUAUUUUGUUCGUGUACUCGCCUCUUUCUGUUGCUUCUCUUUUCUGUCUUUUAAAGGGUUUUAAGUCAUUUUGUGUGCAUAUCUAUGAUUCUGAAUCUUCCUUCUCUUUAAUUUAAGUUUAUUUCAAGUUCAAUGAAGUAGAAAUUAGCGUAUCAAUGUCUUGGUAUAAUAUGAUUGAUUAGUUGAUCCAAUUGCUCUAAAUUAAUGUUUCCGAGCACCUCUAUUGAAAGGUUUGUUUGUUUAAAAGGUUCCGACUAAGUUCAGAGUUGAAAAUUCAUGUUUUUGUUAUAGUAUUCAGGCCCAUGGGUUGGGUGAGGUUUUUGCUUUAAGAUGAUCCAUAUUUGUUUUGGUUCAUAAAGGUAAAUGGUAGUUGUAUAAGGGGUAGUUUGGGUAUUUGGUUGAGGGAAUCUCUUUGAUAACAGAAAUAGGAAGCUUCUAGUAGGGGUUUUAAUUUGAAUUUCAGAUUGUUAGUAGGUUAGCUUGGUUAACAAGUCAAAAUUUUAGGGAUCUCUAAGCUAAAAGCAAAUUUGAAAAGGGCUUAAAGGGUAGAACUAAAAUCUGAAAGGUUGCGCUAUUUGGCUUGCCUAUAAAGGCACCUUUUCUUGCCUUAGAAGGCAGACUUGAAGAGAAAAAUCAGGAAAAAAAAUCAAAACGGCUGAAUAAUUUUAGGAAAAUAACACUGUUACGUUGAGUUAUCUUGGUGUUUUUUCUGAAGUUUUCCUAUUGUUGAAGCAAUUUCUGGUUAGCUUAUACUAAAAUGGGUUAAGGCCAAGUUUGAUUUGAGGUUUUCUAGUUCAUUGAGUGACUGAAAUUAGUGUCUGGAUUAUUGUAUCUCAUCUGCUGGAUUCGAAACUAGUGUGCUGGCUCAUUUUCUAGGUGCUGAGUGUUACUGUUGUUGCUGUUUACUGCAUUCACCCCUUUUUCCUUUUGCAAUCUCCAGGUACUUCUUUAAAAUAUGGUGGAAAUGAAUUCCGAUUGAGCUUUGUAUAAAUAUCUGUGGCCGAGCUGGAGUUAAAUGAAAACAUUAGUCCCUGUUGUGAUUACUGUUCGAUUCUGCCAUGUUAUUAUCCAUGUUUUAGCCUAGCUUAUUGUGAAUACUCCAUUUCAUGAUAUGCAUUUGGUUCUAAAAACUAGAUUCGAACUCUAUUUGAAUAUAAGUGAUUCGAGAAUGCUUUAGGCUUGGUAGAACAUGUAUUAAUU
Molecule: long non-coding RNA, 1563 nt
Filed under: Nicotiana tabacum (common tobacco)
Lineage: Eukaryota; Viridiplantae; Streptophyta; Magnoliopsida; Solanales; Solanaceae
Description: long non-coding RNA (NTAB_LNC000520)
Source: RNAcentral